This is a long non-coding RNA of Maniola jurtina (meadow brown), 623 nucleotides long. RefSeq lists it as uncharacterized. NCBI's taxonomy places the organism in Eukaryota, Metazoa, Arthropoda, Insecta, Lepidoptera, Nymphalidae. The record is from RefSeq and is a predicted model, not a curated record. The transcript is spliced from 4 exons.
UCUGCUUACUUGAUCGAAACUAUCAACUUUACAUCAUUCAUGUAAGCAGCACUUUAAAAAAAUAUUUAUCAACUAGAGUUAGAUUUCGACUAUGUGGUACAAGAUGUCAACGUCAAGCCUAAUGCAAUAACAUUUUAACUCUCGUGCGAAUUAGCAAAUGUCGUCUUUUCGUGGUGACAUAAUUUUAAUGAGAUUGUGGAUCAGUUAUUUUCUUAUAUGCCAUUUAAAUUUUAUGAUUCGUUUAGACUUUAGAUGUAAUAAAUGUCAGUAUUAAGUAAAUAAAACAAAAAUUACGCUUGGUAAAACUUAAUAGUUAUGAUUAAAAUUUAUAUGUAAGUCUACAUGUUAUUGUUAGAAUACUAACUAUAUUUUUCUAUGUGAAACUUUCUACGGUUUUAUAUUGUACAAUCUGUUUUAUAUUUUAUCUGUGCCAUAAAAUAAUAGAUUAAAUUAACCAUACUAUGUUAAUUAAAUUAAUCGUUAACUUAAAAGACAAAAGUAUUAUAAAAUCAGUUUUAUGGCACAGUUAAAGCACUUUUAGAAUUUUAUAUGUCUCCUAUUUCUUUUCUGUAGAUUAUCUUCUUUUCUCUUUAGAACUUUGACGAAAGUAAACAAAAGUGACU